AUUGUGUGACUUCCAACCCUGUGUUGGUGACUUCACAAGAAAAAGAUGAAGUUACUGUUAGAGAUUAGCAUAUUUACCUAAUGAGAAUGAGUAUAUUUUCUUGUUUUCAGGAGUGACUUAAGAGAAGCUUCACCAGUACUGGUCUCAGCACAGACUAAGGAAGCUUUGGAGUUUUCCUUGAAAUUCUGGGCUGGCUGCUGCCUGCCUUCAGCUGUGAACCAGCCAUGGGGUCCCAGCCCUACAGCACUGAACACCCAAGUUCCUGCAGCUGAGCUGGGU
Molecule: long non-coding RNA, 279 nt
Organism: Serinus canaria (Common canary)
Lineage: Eukaryota; Metazoa; Chordata; Aves; Passeriformes; Fringillidae
Exons: 3
Source: RefSeq, a predicted model, not a curated record